UUUUGGUGAGGAGGAGAAGGGCAUGGAAAAAAAAGAGAAAUGCUAUACAUGAUUUUAAGAUAAUAAUGUUUACAAGUAUUAUUGGUAACACCACUUUACACACACUUAUAGACCAUAUAUUACUUGCAUGUAUGAUCAAAACUAAGAUAGUCAUUGAAAAGUCUCAUCCAUGAAGAAUACCUGCUAAAUGUCCAAGCUCAUGACACUGUUGCCAUAAAAUGGUUAUACACUUUAGAAUUGAUGAAAUUCUCCUACACAAAACAAAUCAUAAACCAAUGAAGGAUUCAAAUAUUGUGCUAGUGAAAGAGAAGAAAAAUAUUGUCUGGAAUGAUAUCCUUGAGGAUGCAGAAGAGGCUCGUGGGGAGCUCUCUGAUAAAUGCACACUAAUAAUUGUUGAUAGCGAUUAUGAUAACCAUUUUGUUAAGAGUGACCUAUCACUAAUUGGCAAACAGUUUUAGAGUGUGUACCCAUUGAGAGGAAGAUUCUCAAUCCGUGGGAAAGUAGCAGCAAAAAUAUCAUGGACAACAAAAUAAUUAAUGAUAUCAUAAAAAUUCUUGGAAUAACAAAAGACAAGGUGUACAAUUCGACUAAUUAGUUGAGAUACAGUCAUGUAGUAAUCAUGGCUCAUGUGGUGAAUUACUUAAAUAUUACAGUUCCAUGUAUGUAUUUGUUUUAUUCCCCCAUACUAUAAUCCCAAACUAUUUCUUUCAGGACAUCGA
Molecule: long non-coding RNA, 719 nt
Organism: Medicago truncatula (barrel medic)
Lineage: Eukaryota; Viridiplantae; Streptophyta; Magnoliopsida; Fabales; Fabaceae
Exons: 3
Source: RefSeq, a predicted model, not a curated record